AAAGGUUGAACAAGCUUCUUCAUGAGAAGAAGUCAAAACUCUCUGUUUAAUAGAUGUAUAUAUAGAUAUUUUAGAUGUAUCAAUCACAGUAUUACUAUACUUCUGCCACCGUUUGUCUUGCUUUGACCCAAAGUAAUAUGAAGAAGAGAACCAACCAAACAAAGAUAAUAAUAUGAGGAAACAUGGGAUGGAUGUUGAGUUGUGGGACCAGCAUAGCAGUGUGGCUGACGUGGCAAGGGGAUCUCAGAAUUACCGUUGACCUGUUUUGGGUCAGUGGAAGGAUUGCUGCAGCCACAGAACCCCCCCCAAAAAAAGCUCUACUUCUUUUUCUUCUACUUGCAGCUCUGCUGCACCACCCAGAGCCUGCCACUGCCCACGCACGCUCCCCCAAAUCUCCCCAAAAACAUUACAAAACAAUAAAAUAAGCUUCGCACAUAUCCUUUUCCGUUUUUCGCCACUUCCCCCAUAUC
This 470-nucleotide long non-coding RNA is filed under the name Physcomitrium patens. Its description in RNAcentral is "long non-coding RNA (PPAT_LNC014709)". The record is from RNAcentral. Lineage: Eukaryota; Viridiplantae; Streptophyta; Bryopsida; Funariales; Funariaceae.